RNAcentral lists this ribosomal RNA (1244 nucleotides) under metagenome. Its description in RNAcentral is "bacterial LSU rRNA". It matches the Rfam family "Bacterial large subunit ribosomal RNA", at positions 1564 to 2818 of the family's 2925-position model. The record is from RNAcentral.
UGAAUACGAGACGCUAAGGCGUCGAAGUAGUGUAUGUCAUACUUCCAAGAAAAGCUUGCACUGUCAUAAGUAAAAAAUGCCUGUACCAUAACCGACACAGGUGGUAGGUAGAGUAUACUAAGGGGCGCGAGAUAACUCUCUCUAAGGAACUCGGCAAAAUAACUCCGUAACUUCGGGAGAAGGAGUACCUUAUUCUAUAAGGUUGCAAUAACAAGAUCCAAGCAACUGUUUAUCAAAAACACAGGUCUCCGCUAAGUCGUAAGACGAUGUAUGGGGGCUGACGCCUGCCCAGUGCCAGAAGGUUAAAGAAGUCGGUUAGCAUUAGCGAAGCUGGUAACUGAAGCCCUGGUGAACGGCGGCCGUAACAAUAACGAUCCUAAGGUAGCGAAAUUCCUUGUCGGGUAAGUUCCGACCCGCACGAAAGGCGUAAUGAUUUGGAUACUGUCUCGGAGAGGGGCUCGGUGAAAUAGACUUGUCUGUGAAGAUGCGGACUACCUGCACCAGGACAGAAAGACCCUAUGAAGCUUUACUGUAACUUGAAAUUGAAAUUGGACUUUAUUCGCGCAGUAUAGGUGGGAGGUGUUGAUUAUAAUCUUGCGGGAUUAUUGGAGCCAUCAGUGAGAUACCACUCUUGUAAUGUUAGAUUUCUAACUUUGAAUCAUUAUCUGGUCAAAGGACAGUUUCAGGCGGGCAGUUUGACUGGGGCGGUCGCCUCCCAAACGGUAACGGAGGCGUACAAAGGUUUCCUCUGAACGGGUAGAAAUCGUAUCUAGAGUGUAAAGGCAUAAGGAAGCUCGACUGUGAGACCUACAAGUCGAACAGGGACGAAAGUCGGUCUUAGUGAUCUGACGGUACUGAGUGGAAAGGCCGUCACUCAACGGAUAAAAGUUACUCUAGGAUAACAGGCUGAUCUCCCCCAAGAGUUCACAUCGACGGGGAGGUCUGGCACCUCGAUGUCGGCUCAUCGCAUCCUGGGGCGGUAGUACGUCCCAAGGGUUGGGCUGUUCGCCCAUGAAAGCGGUACGCGAGCUGGGUUCAGAACGUCGUGAGACAGUUCGGUCCAUAUCCGGUGUAGGCGUUAGAAUAUUGAGAGGAGCCUUCUUUAGUACGAGAGGACCGAGAAGGACAUACCUCUGGUGUACCAGUUAUCGUGCCAACGGUAAACGCUGGGUAGCUAUGUACGGAGUGGAUAACCGCUGAAAGCAUCUAAGUGGGAAGCCCACCUCAAGAUAAGUAUUCUCACC